Molecule: long non-coding RNA, 1298 nt
Organism: Alligator mississippiensis (American alligator)
Lineage: Eukaryota; Metazoa; Chordata; Crocodylia; Alligatoridae
Exons: 3
Source: RefSeq, a predicted model, not a curated record
UGGUGAAUAAUAUCCGUUUGUAUUGUCCUCUCCGGCGGGGCGGAGGAGAGCCCGGCUGCCCCGUGGAGAUUAGCAAUGGGAGCCAGCCAAGCCUGGGAGCCCUCUCAUGGCUGCUGGACUCUGCUGCGUUGAAGCGGCUUCAUUUCAGCGCGUUGUUCUGGGCUCGUGCAAUCAAAUACGUGCCCACCCUGAGGCCAGUUGGGUUAAACGUGGGGUUGGCCAAAGAGCACUGAGAUAUCAGCAGGAGCAGCAGAGUCUGACAUGAUUUUUCCACUGGAAAAAGACUCUGCCCAGCAGGAACGUCUUACUGGGAAGAGCUGGGAGAUUCGCGGCGGCUGAGACGCCCGCGUGGCAGCCCGUCUCCUCCGUGGACCGCACACCUUUGAGCAGCACCGUACAGGAAAACCACCAGGGACGCGGAGCAGUGGCUGCUGAGCAGAGGCUGACUAUCCAUUCAGUUUUUGUCGCGGCAUCACCCCGUGCCCCUACGAAGAGUUGAUCUGAGCCAGUGACACUCAUCCCGUGUCCACCCCCCGUGCACUCUGCCUGCAAACACUUGCACAAGUGAUGUAAUCCAUUACACGUCUUGCCUCUUUUCCCAUCGGUUGGGCAGUGUCUUGGCUUGUGCUGGUUGCAACAACAUGUGCAUCUCCACUUCUGUUUUUCUUGGAGAGUGACCUUUAGCUCCACAUCUCUCUCGGCCUCAGGCUUCUUUUCGUACAGUAGUCGGGAUUUUCUUGCUUAUCUGUAGCACCAGAGCUCUGCUGACCCGCUCUCUGCUGCAUUUCUCCCAUUACAUGGCAAAUUGGAAAGGCUUUCUGGGUCUUUGCCUAGUCUGCCUCUGACCAUGUUGUUCCAGGUCCUGGACCCAAUCUAGUGUCUUUUUGAGGACUCUGUUAAACCUUUCAAAAUUGCAAGAUUGUCUUUCCCAUUUUAGAUCAGACACAACCUCAUAUGUGGUUUCACCUUCCUGUGAUGAAAAACAUUUCUCCUAUGUUUCAUUCUGACAUGAAGCUCGGCGCCCCUUGCAUCUCUGUCCAACACCUUCCUGGUCAGACGCUUCUGCGUGAGUUAACUGAGAGCCUCUGAAGGCAUCGGGGACGUCAGAACAGCUAUCUCGUGACUGGCGGCUUUACCACCCUCAACUCUCCUGUGAGACAUGAACUUUCAUUUCUACCCAGGAGAACUUUUACAAUCUUUUUUCCGAUGCCUGAUGAAGGGUGUUUGUGCCCAAAAGCUUGUGAUAAAAGAUUUUUUUUGCAAAAAUGUUGUUGGUCUAAUAAAAGAUAUCACCUCUA